Molecule: ribosomal RNA, 465 nt
Filed under: uncultured bacterium
Lineage: Bacteria
Description: partial 16S ribosomal RNA
Rfam family: Bacterial small subunit ribosomal RNA
Source: RNAcentral
GACGAACGCUGGCGGCGUGCUUAACACAUGCAAGUCGAACGGAAAGGCCCCUUUGGGGGUACUCGAGUGGCGAACGGGGGCGUAACACGUGAGUAACCUGCCCUUGACUUCGGGAUAACUUCAGGAAACUGGGGCUAAUACCGGAUAGGAAUCCUUGCUGCAUGGUGGGGGUUGGAAAGCUUCGGCGGUUUUGGAUGGACUCGCGGCUUAUCAGCUUGUUGGUGGGGUAGUGGCUUACCAAGGCGUUGACGGGUAGCCGGCCUGAGAGGGCGACCGGCCACAUUGGGACUGAGAUACGGCCCAGACUCCUACGGGAGGCAGCAGUGGGGAAUAUUGCACAAUGGGCGGAAGCCUGAUGCAGCAACGCCGCGUGCGGGAUGACGGCCUUCGGGUUGUAAACCGCUUUCAGCAGGGGCGAAGCUUGUGGUGACGGUACCUGCAGAAGAAGCACCGGCUAACUACGUG